This 244-nucleotide ribosomal RNA is filed under the name uncultured Lactobacillus sp. RNAcentral's name for it is "partial 16S ribosomal RNA". It matches the Rfam family "Bacterial small subunit ribosomal RNA", at positions 119 to 355 of the family's 1533-position model. Lineage: Bacteria; Bacillati; Bacillota; Bacilli; Lactobacillales; Lactobacillaceae. The record is from RNAcentral.
GGGGAACCUGCCCCAUAGUCUGGGAUACCACUUAGAAACAGGUGCUAAUACCGGAUAAGAAAGCGGAUCGCAUGAUCAGCUUUUAAAAGGCGGCGUAAGCUGUCGCUAUGGGAUGGCCCCGCGGUGCAUUAGCUAGUUGGUAAGGUAAAGGCUUACCAAGGCGAUGAUGCAUAGCCGAGUUGAGAGACUGAUCGGCCACAUUGGGACUGAGACACGGCCCAAACUCCUACGGGAGGCAGCAGCC